CCUACGGGAGGCAGCAGUGGGGAAUUUUGGACAAUGGGCGCAAGCCUGAUCCAGCCAUGCCGCGUGCAGGAUGAAGGCCUUCGGGUUGUAAACUGCUUUUGUACGGAACGAAAAGACUCUGGUUAAUACCUGGGGUCCAUGACGGUACCGUAAGAAUAAGCACCGGCUAACUACGUGCCAGCAGCCGCGGUAAUACGUAGGGUGCGAGCGUUAAUCGGAAUUACUGGGCGUAAAGCGUGCGCAGGCGGUUAUAUAAGACAGAUGUGAAAUCCCCGGGCUCAACCUGGGAACUGCAUUUGUGACUGUAUAGCUAGAGUACGGCAGAGGGGGAUGGAAUUCCGCGUGUAGCAGUGAAAUGCGUAGAUAUGCGGAGGAACACCGAUGGCGAAGGCAAUCCCCUGGGCCUGUACUGACGCUCAUGCACGAAAGCGUGGGGAGCAAACAGGAUUAGAUACCCUGGUAGUCCACGCCCUAAACGAUGUCAACUGGUUGUUGGGUCUUCACUGACUCAGUAACGAAGCUAACGCGUGAAGUUGACCGCCUGGGGAGGUACGGCCGCGAGUAGAACGUACGAANAGAGUUAGACGGCGUGAGACGUGCCGACGGACGACGACGAGGGGAGGAGG
Molecule: ribosomal RNA, 626 nt
Filed under: uncultured bacterium
Lineage: Bacteria
Description: bacterial SSU rRNA
Rfam family: Bacterial small subunit ribosomal RNA (bases 1-542)
Source: RNAcentral